CCUACGGGAGGCAGCAGUGAGGAAUAUUGGUCAAUGGGCGCGAGCCUGAACCAGCCAAGACGCGUGAGGGUGGACGGCCCUACGGGUUGUAAACCUCUUUUGCCGGGGAGCAACGGGCGCCACGGGUGGCGCCACUAGGAGUACCCGGAGAAAAAGCAUGGGCUAACUCCGUGCCAGCAGCCGCGGUAAUACGGGGGAUGCGAGCUUUAUCCGGUUUUAUUGGGUUUAAAGGGUGCGUAGGCGGAUCGUUAAGUCAGUGGUCAAAUUGAGGGGCUCACCCCCUUACGGCCAUUGAAACUGGCGCUCUUGAGUGGAAGAGAAGUAUGCGGAAUGCGUGGUGUAGCGGUGAAAUGCAUAGAUAUCACGCAGAACCCCGAUUGCGAAGGCAGCAUGCCGGCUUCCGACUGACGCUGAAGCACGAAAGCGUGGGGAUCGAACAGGAUUAGAUACCCUUGUAGUC
RNAcentral lists this ribosomal RNA (460 nucleotides) under uncultured bacterium. Its description in RNAcentral is "partial 16S ribosomal RNA". It matches the Rfam family "Bacterial small subunit ribosomal RNA", at positions 338 to 795 of the family's 1533-position model. The record is from RNAcentral.